GAAGUACUCCCUCCGCUCGGAAUUACUUGUCUCGGAAAUGGAUGUAUUUAAAACUAAAAUACAUCUAGAUACAUCCAUUUUCGCAACGAGUAAUUCCGAACGGAGGGAGUAGUAC
Molecule: non-coding RNA, 115 nt
Organism: Triticum aestivum (bread wheat)
Lineage: Eukaryota; Viridiplantae; Streptophyta; Magnoliopsida; Poales; Poaceae
Source: Rfam